RNAcentral lists this ribosomal RNA (454 nucleotides) under uncultured Porphyromonadaceae bacterium. RNAcentral's name for it is "bacterial SSU rRNA". It matches the Rfam family "Bacterial small subunit ribosomal RNA", at positions 341 to 792 of the family's 1533-position model. Lineage: Bacteria; Pseudomonadati; Bacteroidota; Bacteroidia; Bacteroidales; Porphyromonadaceae. The record is from RNAcentral.
ACGGAAGGCAGCAGUGAGGAAUAUUGGUCAAUGGGCGAGAGCCUGAACCAGCCAUGUCGCGUGGAGGAUGAAGGUCCUACGGAUUGUAAACUCCUUUUGCAGGGGGGUAAAGUGAGCCACGCGUGGCUUAUUGCAAGUACCCUGCGAAUAAGCAUCGGCUAACUCCGUGCCAGCAGCCGCGGUAAUACGGAGGAUGCGAGCGUUAUCCGGAUUUAUUGGGUUUAAAGGGUGCGUAGGCGGGCGAUUAAGUCAGCGGUGAAAGUUUGCGGCUCAACCGUAAAAUUGCCGUUGAUACUGGUUGCCUUGAGUGCGGCAGAGGCAGGCGGAAUGUGUGGUGUAGCGGUGAAAUGCAUAGAUAUCACACAGAACACCGAUUGCGAAGGCAGCUUGCUGGAGCGCAACUGACGCUGAGGCACGAAAGCGCGGGUAUCGAACAGGAUUAGAUACCCUGGUA